GAUGAACGCUGGCGGCGUGCUUAACACAUGCAAGUCGAACGAAGCACCUUAUUCUAAUUUCUUCGGAAUGAAAAAUUUGGUGACUGAGUGGCGGACGGGUGAGUAACGCGUGGGUAACCUGCCUCAUACAGGGGGAUAACAGUUAGAAAUGACUGCUAAUACCGCAUAAGACCACAGCACCGCAUGGUGCAGGGGUAAAAACUCCGGUGGUAUGAGAUGGACCCGCGUCUGAUUAGGUAGUUGGUGGGGUAACGGCCUACCAAGCCGACGAUCAGUAGCCGACCUGAGAGGGUGACCGGCCACAUUGGGACUGAGACACGGCCCAAACUCCUACGGGAGGCAGCAGUGGGGAAUAUUGCACAAUGGGGGAAACCCUGAUGCAGCGACGCCGCGUGAGCGAUGAAGUAUUUCGGUAUGUAAAGCUCUAUCAGCAGGGAAGAAGAUGACGGUACCUGACUAAGAAGCACCGGCUAAAUACGUGCCAGCAGCCGCGGUAA
Molecule: ribosomal RNA, 497 nt
Filed under: uncultured bacterium
Lineage: Bacteria
Description: partial 16S ribosomal RNA
Rfam family: Bacterial small subunit ribosomal RNA
Source: RNAcentral